AGUCAAAGUCUUGCAGCCUGGCAGGGUGAUACACUUCUAUAGUCUUGGCUACUCGAGCUGUGGUGGGCUGUGAUGGACUAUGUUCAUCAGGUGUCCGCACUAAGUUCAGCGUCAGUAUGGUGACCUCUUGGGAGUGGAGGACUGCCAGGCUGCCUAAGGAGGGGUGAACAGUUUCACACGGGAAACCGAGCAGGUCAAAACUACGGUGCUGAUCACUAAUGGGAUCGCACCUGUGAAAAGCCACUGCACUCCAUGCUGAGCAACAUAGUGAGACUAAU
This is an unclassified non-coding RNA of Chlorocebus sabaeus (green monkey), 278 nucleotides long. It matches the Rfam family "Metazoan signal recognition particle RNA". Rfam says of the family: The signal recognition particle (SRP) is a universally conserved ribonucleoprotein. The record is from Ensembl. Lineage: Eukaryota; Metazoa; Chordata; Mammalia; Primates; Cercopithecidae.